RNAcentral lists this ribosomal RNA (473 nucleotides) under uncultured bacterium. RNAcentral's name for it is "bacterial SSU rRNA". It matches the Rfam family "Bacterial small subunit ribosomal RNA", at positions 335 to 800 of the family's 1533-position model. The record is from RNAcentral.
ACUCCUACGGGAGGCAGCAGUGGGGAAUAUUGCACAAUGGGGGAAACCCUGAUGCAGCCAUGCCGCGUGUGUGAAAAGGCCUUCGGGUUGUAAAGCACUUUCAGUAGGGAGGAAGGUAGUGUAGUUAACACCUGCAUUAUUUGACGUUACCUACAGAAGAAGCACCGGCUAACUCCGUGCCAGCAGCCGCGGUAAUACGGAGGGUGCGAGCGUUAAUCGGAAUCAUUGGGUUUAAAGGGUCCGUAGGUGGAUGAUUAAGUCAGAGGUGAAAGUCUGCAGCUCAACUGUAGAAUUGCCUUUGAUACUGGUUAUCUUGAGUUAUUAUGAAGUAGUUAGAAUAUGUAGUGUAGCGGUGAAAUGCAUAGAUAUUACAUAGAAUACCAAUUGCGAAGGCAGAUUACUAAUAAUAUACUGACACUGAUGGACGAAAGCGUGGGGAGCGAACAGGAUUAGAUACCCUGGUAGGAUAGCGU